AAAAAAAAGAAAAAAACAAAAAGAAGUCGUAAGAUCAAAUCUUCCAAUGACAAGACCAUUGUUUAGGCCUAAUUUCAUUGAAGUGACUGAUAGUUAUGGCUUGGGCGAACUGUAUUCUCCUUGUUCUGGCUAUGCUCUAAAACAAAGAAUCAGUUUAACUUGCUUUUAGUAGAUUUGUACAAAUUAGGAUCAGUCUGAUAGUAGACAACCUCUCCAACGUCACUCACAUAGUGAUCUUCUCUCAAGCUUUUUA
RNAcentral lists this unclassified non-coding RNA (253 nucleotides) under Hevea brasiliensis (rubber tree). Lineage: Eukaryota; Viridiplantae; Streptophyta; Magnoliopsida; Malpighiales; Euphorbiaceae. The record is from RNAcentral.